GCCCGCAUCAAGGUGGGGCUUCAGGCGGCGAAAUACCUCCUGCGCGUGUGGGGUGCCCGGAUAGAAACCUUCCUCGUGCAAGUCGAGGAUGUGGGUGCC
Molecule: transfer RNA, 99 nt
Filed under: Deinococcus aetherius
Lineage: Bacteria; Thermotogati; Deinococcota; Deinococci; Deinococcales; Deinococcaceae
Description: tRNA-Arg
Source: RNAcentral